This 986-nucleotide long non-coding RNA is filed under the name Cricetulus griseus (Chinese hamster). RNAcentral's name for it is "lncRNA (ENSCGRG00015039682.1)". The record is from RNAcentral. Lineage: Eukaryota; Metazoa; Chordata; Mammalia; Rodentia; Cricetidae.
CGGGCCGCAUCCGUUGCUUGGUUACGGCUUUCUCCUGCAGCCUGCCGGGUGCGGUUCUCCCGGCUGCUGUUUUGGCCUGGGGCUGCCGGGCGCGCUCAUGCCACCCGCUGGCGUCGGCCAAAGGAGAGGAGCCGGAGCCAGAUGGCUCGGUCCUCUAACCUCCCUCACGACUCCUCCCGGUGGGACGUGGCCUCAAGCCCCGGGCUGAGCGCUGGACCUCUUAGACCAGGGACAUCCGCAGAGGACACAAAGGUGCCGCGCCUGCGAGGCAGCCUGACCAGUGGAGGACCCAGGAGGAGGAGGGAGUGUGGUGGAGCUGGCCAGCGCUCAGCCACGCAAGCAGAGCCGCGCGAGCUCCGAAGGCCAGCUUCAGCCUGUCUGACGUGGCGCUGUGUGGGUCACUUUGUAAAGCUAACAUUUGUCUUUUGAGAGCCAGGUUCCCAAUCUCUUUAAACACAGGAGAACACAUGGUAAACUUAGUCCUAGGUUCCUAAGGAGAAGCAGCAACCCCAGCCCCAGGAUGACUAGAGCGACAACAUAAUAGAAAGGCCUUGUCAAAAAGAAUAAUAAUAAAAAAAAAUGCAAGAUCUUCACCCUUCAGGCUCCCAAGGGUAGGGAUGGGUUAGAGAGGCAACUGGAUUGGCUAUCUCUCUUCAGCUGUUCUUUCUGUCCUAACGUAGAGUCAGGACUCACUGCCUGUAGGGAGGUUGGUGUCCUGCAGUCAAGUGAAUCUGGCCUCUUGAGUGACACAAGCUCCUGUUUACGGCCCAGUCUGCACCCACACGUCCUGCUUUGUUGACUGACCUCUCUGGGCAUCGGGAGAUCACUGAACAGUCUGAGCAUUGGAAUAGAGUACUUCUAGUGUGUAUGCUGAGGCAACAGACACAAAUUGGGGCUGCCUGUGGCACGCAGGGCCAUGGUGACGCCUGUGCCUAGGGGUGCUUCCACAAUCACCGUGGGUACUCCUGGUUAUGCCUCUUCCCUUU